Molecule: ribosomal RNA, 433 nt
Filed under: uncultured bacterium
Lineage: Bacteria
Description: partial 16S ribosomal RNA
Rfam family: Bacterial small subunit ribosomal RNA
Source: RNAcentral
AACGAACGCUGGCGGCAUGCCUAACACAUGCAAGUCGAACGAGACCUUCGGGUCUAGUGGCGCACGUGUGCGUAACGCGUGGGAACCUGCCCUUAGGUUCGGAAUAACUCCCCGAAAGGGGUGCUAAUACCGGAUAAUGUCUUCGGACCAAAGAUUUAUCGCCUUUGGAUGGGCCCGCGUUGGAUUAGCUAGUUGGUAGGGUAAAAGCCUACCAAGGCGACGAUCCAUAGCUGGUCUGAGAGGAUGAUCAGCCACACUGGGACUGAGACACGGCCCAGACUCCUACGGGAGGCAGCAGUGGGGAAUAUUGGACAAUGAGCGAAAGCCUGAUCCAGCAAUGCCGCGUGAGUGAUGAAGGCCUUAGGGUUGUAAAGCUCUUUUACCCGGGAUGAUAAUGACAGUACCGGGAGAAUAAGCUCCGGCUAACUCCGUG